This 495-nucleotide ribosomal RNA is filed under the name uncultured bacterium. RNAcentral describes it as "partial 16S ribosomal RNA". It matches the Rfam family "Bacterial small subunit ribosomal RNA", at positions 28 to 507 of the family's 1533-position model. The record is from RNAcentral.
GACGAACGCUGGCGGCGUGCCUAAUACAUGCAAGUAGAACGCUGAAGGAGGAGCUUGCUUCUCUGGAUGAGUUGCGAACGGGUGAGUAACGCGUAGGUAACCUGCCUGGUAGCGGGGGAUAACUAUUGGAAACGAUAGCUAAUACCGCAUAAGAGUAGAUGUCGCAUGACAUUUGCUUAAAAGGUGCAAUUGCAUCACUACCAGAUGGACCUGCGUUGUAUUAGCUAGUUGGUGAGGUAACGGCUCACCAAGGCAACGAUACAUAGCCGACCGGAGAGGGGGAUCGGCCACACUGGGACUGGGACACGGCCCAGACUCCUACGGGAGGCAGCAGUAGGGAAUCUUCGGCAAUGGACGGAAGUCUGACCGAGCAACGCCGCGUGAGUGAAGAAGGUUUUCGGAUCGUAAAGCUCGGUUGUAAGAGAAGAACGAGUGUGAGAGUGGAAAGUUCACACUGUGACGGUAUCUUACCAGAAAGGGACGGCUAACUACGUG